UCUUCGGGAGGCAGCAGUGGGGAAUCUUGCCCAAUGGGCGAAAGCCUGAAGCACCAACGCCGCGUGAACGAUGAAGGCCUUUGGGUUGUAAAGCUCCUCAGGGGGGCCGGAGAGUGACGUACCNCNGACGACGGCCCGAUNNC
RNAcentral lists this ribosomal RNA (143 nucleotides) under bacterium. RNAcentral describes it as "partial 16S ribosomal RNA". It matches the Rfam family "Bacterial small subunit ribosomal RNA", at positions 338 to 479 of the family's 1533-position model. The record is from RNAcentral.